RNAcentral lists this ribosomal RNA (429 nucleotides) under Gemmatimonadota bacterium. RNAcentral describes it as "Gemmatimonadetes bacterium partial 16S ribosomal RNA". It matches the Rfam family "Bacterial small subunit ribosomal RNA", at positions 355 to 776 of the family's 1533-position model. Lineage: Bacteria; Pseudomonadati; Gemmatimonadota. The record is from RNAcentral.
UAGGGAAUCUUCGGCAAUGGACGAAAGUCUGACCGAGCAACGCCGCGUGAGUGAAGAAGGUUUUCGGAUCGUAAAACUCUGUUGUUAGAGAAGAACAAGGACGUUAGUAACUGAACGUCCCCUGACGGUAUCUAACCAGAAAGCCACGGCUAACUACGUGCCAGCAGCCGCGGUAAUACGUAGGUGGCAAGCGUUGUCCGGAUUUAUUGGGCGUAAAGCGAGCGCAGGCGGUUUCUUAAGUCUGAUGUGAAAGCCCCCGGCUCAACCGGGGAGGGUCAUUGGAAACUGGGAGACUUGAGUGCAGAAGUGGGGGGUGGAAUUCCAGGUGUAGCGGUGAAAGGCGUAGAUAUAUGGAGGAACACCAGUGGCGAAGGCGGCUCUCUGGUCUGUAACUGACGCUGAGGCUCGAAAGCGUGGGGAGCAAACAGG